Sturnus vulgaris (Common starling) is the source of this 116-nucleotide non-coding RNA. The record is from RefSeq and is a predicted model, not a curated record. Lineage: Eukaryota; Metazoa; Chordata; Aves; Passeriformes; Sturnidae.
GAUCGCCGUGGUGGCCGUGAUGUGCAAACCCCACCGGUGCCCCCACAUCAACUUCACGGGAAACAUCUGUGUGUACUGCCCAGGGGGCCCUGACUCUGAUUUUGAAUAUUCCACCC